UUUAAAGCCAAUGGUGGCUAAUCUCCCACAAUUCACGGCGACGCAGAAACCGCCCUAUAUGCAGGCUUAUUUGCCCAGCGGUCGGAUGUGCGCAUGCUUGCAUUGCGGGCGCAGGGCGUUGUGGGGGUUCCUUUGUUAUGUGUCCGAGUUGGUGGAAGCGGUACUGAGGAUCGAAGAGGUACUCUCCUGGGGAGUAAGGGAGCCCAAUAACAGUGUCGUUCAGCUCUCAUUGCCCUUCAACUGAGUGACUCUCCAAGCCAUUUCAGAGAACAGCUGGCAUUGUCAGCAACAUUGCCGUGGAUCCGCGUUAACUUGUAGGCCGGAUCAGAGUCAUAUUGGUGAGUGGUGAUUGACCUUCCUGGGAACCCAUAGGAAGAAUUUCUAAACAGCUGGAGGAACAAGGGAGCAGCACAUUCAGUCAGCCAUCCUGCUGAUCGAGAACUGGAACUGGGGUCAGUGUGAUAAAUAAUAAUGAGUUUUGAAAGGGGCCAUUUACAGAUGAGAAACUGAAAUCAAAUAUCGUGUUAAGAUCUGACAGUCACUUACCUCCUGACCUGAAUAUCUUGAGCUUUGAGCUGAAAAGAAGACACUUCUUAACCAGUUACACAGCCUGAAGAAAACACUUCCCCAUUCACAGCAGAGAGAAACCAUAAAUGUAUUCUGUAUGAGGACGAAGCUUCAUCUGAUUCAUACACGUAUAUCUCGCUAAUAAUCAUCCACCAAGACGAGCAGAAUGGAGAAACCGUGGAAGUGUGGCGACUGUGGAAAGGAAUUCCGUUUUGCAUCCCAGCUGGAAACUCAUCAACGCAGUCAUACAGGGGAGAGACCAUUCCCCUGCUCAGAGUGUGGGAAGGGAUUUAUUAAUUCAUCCUCACUUCUGAGACACCAGAGAGUUCAUGAUGUGGAAAAGCGGUUUACCUGCACUGUGUGUGGAAAGGGUUUUAAUAGAUCUUCUAACCUCCUCACGCACCAGCGCAUUCACACAGGGGAGCGGCCAUUCACCUGCUCCGAAUGUGGGAAAGGAUUCACAAGUUCAUCCCAUCUUCUGAAACACCAGCGUGGACACACUGGGAGGAAGCCUUUCACUUGCUCUCAGUGUGGGAAGGGAUUCACCAACUCCACUGACCUACUGACACAUCAACGCGUUCACACUGGGGAGCGGCCGUUCACCUGCUCAGAGUGUGGGAAAGGAUUCACUCAAUUGCAAAACCUAAUGAGACACCACCGAGUUCACACUGGAGAGAAGCCUUUCAUUUGCUUUGUGUGUUGGAAGCGAUUUGCUGAAUCACAGCACCUAAGGAGACACCAACAAAUUCACAAGUGACUGCCGUGAUUGCAUUCUGCUGUUAUUCACAUCCACCACUGAACGUUCUCAUAUUUGGGGUUUAUUUUUGCUGCUGUAAACUCCAGUCUGUUGUAGAGUUAUUAAUAUUUGUUCUUUGUAAUUAAUUGAUCAACCAGGGUCUAAUUGAAUGGCAGAGCCUGACCAAGAGUUGAAUGGCCUACUCCAGUUCCUAUGUACUUUCAUCACAGACGUCUCACUCUCUUUUUUUAGUUUGCUGAAAUGCUGGUUUAUGGAGAAAAGUCUUCUUCCUGUUCUUCCAUGAGUUUCCAUUCAUUAGUUCUGUUUGAGUCCAGGUUUGGUAGGAAUUAGAAGUGGACAUUUUUAGCUUUUCAAGACUAUUGCUAUUCAUUGAGGUCAUGGCUGAUCUGUAACUGAAUGUUAAUUACCCAUGUAUUAUUUUAAUAUUGGCUUCCAGUCUGUUGCAAGCUAUUUUAAAAUAAAUUUUGUUCAUAUUGCACCUUCAGUUAGGCAAGUUUCCCAAGGUGCAUCUUGGAAGCAUACAAUGUUAAAUUUGACAAAAAUCUAUAUUUUCUAAUCAACCCGUUCAGAGAUGGUAUUACAGAUCUCAGAAGCGGAUAAGAUUUUAACCUAGGCAUUCUGGUUCAGAGUUACACACCACCACACCAGAAGAGUCUGAUCUUCUGACAAAAAUAUUGACAUUGAGUCAAAGAAAGGGAGUUUGGGAAGGCUGAAUACAAUGCUUAGUUAAUGGCUUUGUUUUUUAACUCUGAAAGGAGAGAUACAGACUGAUGAAGAGGGAGAGUGAGAAUGUUAAGGUCGAUGCCCUGUAGGCUGAACCUUCUGUCAGAGACUGUGAGUGAUGUAUCAGAGGCUGAAGUUUGAGGAAUGCAGAGCUCUCUUGUUAUCCAGAUGAAGGAGGUUACAGAUAUUGGAACGUGUGUGCAAUAUAAGGGACUUGACAAGAAAAUAACAACAUACAAAUGGAGGCAUUUGUGGAGCUGGAGGCAUUGCAGAUCUAGUGAGUAGAGGAGUAAUGGACAAGUGUCGGGGAAAUGUGCAUCAGAAUAUGGAUAGGCUGAACCUUCAGCCCAUAGGGGAUAGUCAGAAGAGAACAAUAAUAGACAAGCAGAAGGACAACACAGUCACAUAGAAGAGCUCAAGAGAGGUACUGAGGGAAUGACACAUGCUAUCACUGUACAUAUGGAACCUGAUGUCAUGUGUUUGGCUGAUGGCCCAAGAGGCAGCCUGUAUGUAAGAUUUUUGAGAAGUCAUCAGGAGACCAAUGGAGGAGAGCCUAAGGUAAAGGGAUCCAGUGCAGAAAAUUGUGAUAACUUAGAGAAGAUAAAGUAGCAGAGCAAGGUAGAACUGAGAGAAAUGAUAAUCAGAGCACUUGUGGAAGGGACCGAAGAAAUAAUACGUAAGAGGUAAGGCUACAGAUCUUCAAAAUGGUGAAGAGAUAGAAAUAAAGGCUCUGUAUCUGAAGGAAAAUAGAAUUCAUUACAAAACAUAUUAAUUGACAGCUGAAAUCUUUUUUUUUAAAAAAGUACAUGAUAGCUAUUACAAAGACCUGGCUGCAAGAUAACAAAUUCGAUAACAUGGGGCCUGAAUAUUCAAGGGUAUAUACACCACAGAUGGACAGGAAGCUAGGAAAUGGUAAAUGAGUAACUGUUAAGAAUGAUAUUUUUACAAUAGAUAAUUGUGACUUCAUUUGUAAUGGUCAAGAUCUAGAAUCAGUUUUGAUAGAGAUCAGAAGUUCUAAAGAUAAGACGUAAUUUGUAAGAGACAUUUUUUUUAGAUCACCAAACAAUAGGAUGGGUAUAUGGGAGGAAAUAAUGGGGGCUUGUGAAAAAGAUACAGCAAUAAUCAUGGUGUUCUUAAUGUAUGGAUUGAAUCAAUCAGAUUGGCAAAGGUAUCCUGGAAGACGAAUUCAGUGAGUAUUUCUGGGAGCAUUUCCUAGAGCAACACAUUCUCAAGCCAGUCAGGAAAGCUGUGCUAGAUGUGAUAAUGUGCCACAAGAGGCUUAAUUAAGGACAUAAUUGUAAAAUUGCCUUUACAUACCAAUAAUCUUAGUAUGACAGUUUGUGAGAGGAAAGUAGGCCUUAGAUUAGUGUUUUAAUGUCAUUAAGGACAGUUAUGGAGUACAGUUCUAGUUAAAGUGAACUGGGAAAUUCUGUUGAGGAACAAAUCAAAAGAGAUAAAUGGCAAAGAUGCAGGUCAUUGUGAAAGAGUCUAGAUGGAGAAUUCACUAUCUGUAACUAACUAAGAAAACCAAAGAGUGUCAAAUUGAAAGAAAAAGUUGCACAAUUCUGUGAAGAAUAGUGGCAGUCCAGAAGAUGGGCAGAGAAUAUCUUAAAAAGUAGUGAAGUAAGGCAGAAAAACUAGCUGUAAAUAUUUUUUGAGUGUUUCUAUAAAUAUUUUAGAUCAAAAAAGAUUAAGGAAAUUGUUGGUCUUGUAGAGAGUGACAAAAUUAAUAAUGGAAAGUGAACAAUAUUUUGUCUGGCAUCACGGUAGUGAAUACAAAUAACCAAAAAAUCCCAUAAAUAAUUGUAAAUCAGGUGGCAGGAAGGAAGAACUUAGUCACUAGAAAUGUUUACUGAGAGAACUAAAAAGCCAGUAAGUUAUUGGGUCCUAAUGGGGUGCUUCCUAGGUUCUUAAAAGAAGUAGCUGUUGGGAUAAUUGGUGCAUUGGCUUUGCUUCAAAAUUCCAUAGAUUCAGGAAUGGUUUACUCGGAUGGGAAAAUAGUGAAUGCAGGUGGUCAGUUCAAGAAGAAUGGAGACAGAAAGUAGGAAUUACAUGUUAGUUUAACAUCUGUCAUUGGGGAAAUGCUAGACUUUUUUAAGGUUAUUGCAGGGCACUUAGAAAAUCUCAAUGUGAUCAGGCAGAGUUAACACGGUUUUUAAAAAGUACAGACAUGUCUGACAAAUUCAUUUGGUUUCUUGAAGCAACAUGCCAUUUGAAAAAUGGGAAUCUGUGGAUGUGCUACAAUUAGGUUUUCAGAAAGAACCAUCUUGAAUCUUAUUGCAACAUAAACCUUUAGAAAAUAGAUGACUCUUCAGACAGAUGAUCUCGAUCAGUGCAGGCUUGGAGGGCUGAAGGGCCUGUUCCUGUGCUCUAAUUUUCUUUGUUCUUUAUACAAAAUUGAAGAGAUUCGACAACAUAGUUCCCUCUGUGGGAGAGACUAGUAAAAAGUGACAGUUUAAAAAUAAAGGCACUUUCACUUAUGAUGGAGGUGAAGAGAAUUUCUUUGAGAUUCAAGAGCCUUAGAAUCUCUCUUCCCUAGAGAACAGGGCAGGGGCGGUUGCGCAGUCUUCGAAUAUUUUUUAAGGCCGAGUGAGAAAGAUCCUCGACUUUACCCUAAUACUCUGACCCUUUUUUUUAAAAGACAGGAAAGUGGAGCUGAAGCCAGUCAGAUCAGCCAAUGAUCUUAUUAAAUGGUGGAGCAGGUUUGAAGGGCUGAUUGGCCUACCCCCUGCUCCUAUUAUUAUGCUCAUAAUGGGGUGAGGUGGAAGCAAAGUGAGGUCAGCCCCAGUCAACUGGAUGAUGGGAAUGGGGUGUUGGAGGAUGUUUUCAUUUGACUUGGUCAGUAUGAGGGAUCGCGUCCCACACUUACACAGGAUGUCCCUUUCGUAGACUCCCUACAGUGCGGAAGCAACCCAAACAGCUUAUUAAGUCCACAACAAAGCUCCGAAGAGCAUCUCACCCGGACCCCUGAUAAUGCUGUGUUUUCCAUGGCCAAUCUGUCUGGCCUGUGGGAAGAAACUGGAGCACCCAGAGCAAACCUGCACAGACAUGGGGAGAAUGUGCAAACUCCACAUACAGUCACCUGAGGCUGGAAUUACACCCAGAUCACUGAGCUACUGUGACUGGGAUUGAAGCUGUUUGUGUGUUUAAAAGCUGUAUCUUUAAAAUGUUUCAGUAGUCUUGAUUGUGGAAUGAAAUGCUAAAAGGUCUGCAUUAAAAGCCAAGGGUAGUUGAAGGAUUACUGAACUUUUAAAAAGCAAGGAACUUUACCCUCAUUGUAAAUGUUUAGUUGUCUAUGCAAGUAGUUGGAAGCCCAGGCAUUGGCAAGCUGGAACCAAUGGGGUUGGGGGUGGUGGGGAGAUGGUGUACAAGUGUAGCUAUGGCUGGCCACAAGUAGCUGAUUUGACAACAGGCCAUUAGUCCACAGACCAAUGACCAAGAACUCCUGCCUGCAAAUAAUUAUUUGACUGCGAGUAGCUGAACAGCCUGAGUAAAUGAUUGUUUGGGCAGAAGCCGUCGGACCUUCAGAAAGGAAGGAGCUGUUUUGCUCUGCAGCAAAAAGCUUCUUGAACCUGGUAAGAGCUAGCUUAUUUCUCCUCAUCAGUUGCUGUAAGCUGUGGCUUUCAAUUAAGUCCGAGACGUCUGUGAACCGGUCAAUCUGUGCCUCCUGCAAACAACUGAAAGUACAGAGAGGCAAGAUUGAGAAGCAGCAUACUGAUGGGCAAAAGGAAUGUCUCAAUAAACCCUGAUGGGCAGGAACCAUUGAUCUGCAUUACCAGUCUUUCCCUUCAAUUAUAACACCCAUGGUUUCUAUCUCUUAUUUGUGUCUGUAUGUAUGUGUAUGUAAACAGAAAUUAUAGGAGGGUUAAGAGUUUUAACUAGUAGAGAUCUAUGCCUUCAUAAUUGUGUAUCUGUAGUUAGAAUCUACUUACUUGUAAUAAAUAGUAAUCCUUGUCAAGUACAGAAACCUGGUCUGUGCUUUGUUAACCUGGGUCAAAAAGACAGGUAAAUUGGGAAAUUCUGCAUAUUGCAAAAAAAUUGUUAACUUUUGUCAUGACUCUGCAUAGUGGAG
Long non-coding RNA from Stegostoma tigrinum, 6119 nucleotides. RefSeq lists it as uncharacterized. The transcript has 3 exons. The record is from RefSeq and is a predicted model, not a curated record. NCBI's taxonomy places the organism in Eukaryota, Metazoa, Chordata, Chondrichthyes, Orectolobiformes, Stegostomatidae.